RNAcentral lists this ribosomal RNA (455 nucleotides) under uncultured bacterium. RNAcentral's name for it is "bacterial SSU rRNA". It matches the Rfam family "Bacterial small subunit ribosomal RNA", at positions 340 to 786 of the family's 1533-position model. The record is from RNAcentral.
UACGGGAGGCAGCAGUGGGGAAUAUUGCACAAUGGGCGCAAGCCUGAUGCAGCCAUGCCGCGUGUAUGAAGAAGGCCUUCGGGUUGUAAAGUACUUUCAGUCGUGAGGAAGGUGUUAAGGUUAAUAACCUUAGCAAUUGACGUUAGCGACAGAAGAAGCACCGGCUAACUCCGUGCCAGCAGCCGCGGUAAUACGGAGGGUGCGAGCGUUAAUCGGAAUUACUGGGCGUAAAGGGCACGCAGGCGGUUAAUUAAGUUGGAUGUGAAAUCCCCGGGCUUAACCUGGGAAUGGCAUUCAAGACUGGUUAGCUAGAGUCUUGUAGAGGGGGUAGAAUUCCAUGUGUAGCGGUGAAAUGCGUAGAGAUGUGGAGGAAUACCGGUGGCGAAGGCGGCCCCCUGGACGAAAGACUGACGCUCAUGUGCGAAAGCGUGGGGAGCAAACAGGGAUUAGAUACC